UGUUGUAUUUGCGUGUGGACUAAGUAU
This 27-nucleotide small RNA is filed under the name Bombyx mori (domestic silkworm). RNAcentral's name for it is "ovarian small RNA-9223". Lineage: Eukaryota; Metazoa; Arthropoda; Insecta; Lepidoptera; Bombycidae. The record is from RNAcentral.